GGAAACAAAUAUUUAUUUAAAAAUAGUGAACUGAAACAUCUUAGUAACUAAUUCAAAAAAUCAAACGAAAUUUUGUGAGUAGUGGCGAGCGAAAGCGAAAAGGCUUAUUAUUGCUUUUGUAUGAUUAAAACUUCGGGGUUGGAAUACCAAACUAUAAUUGGUAAUAGUCCAAAUAUAUUUAAAGCAAUAGUUAAAUGUUAAUGGCGGGAUACGUGUAUUCCUGUUAAUAUGUGGGGGGACCACCCUCCAAGCUAAAUGACUUUUGAAAACCAAUAGUAAAUUAGUACCGUGAGGGAAAGCUUGAAAUAGAAGUUGCAAGUUUAAAGCCUGAAAAAGGUAAAUGAAAAAGAUCGAGAAAUCUAGUGUCAAAAAGCAGUUGAAGUAAUUUAAAUUACAUCAGCGUACCUUUUGCAUAAUGGGUCAGCAAGUAUACAUAAUUAGCAAGCUUAAAUUGUUAAAUGUAAGCGUAAUGAAAUUGAAAAUAAGUUAUUUAUGUAUGACCCGAAACCAAGUGAUCUAACCAUGAUCAAGUUGAAGUUUAUGUAAAAGUAAAUGAAGGACUGAACUCGUGUAUGUUGCAAAAUACUGGGAU
This 592-nucleotide ribosomal RNA is filed under the name Gloeochaete wittrockiana. RNAcentral's name for it is "partial Bacterial large subunit ribosomal RNA". It matches the Rfam family "Bacterial large subunit ribosomal RNA", at positions 158 to 805 of the family's 2925-position model. Lineage: Eukaryota; Glaucocystophyceae; Gloeochaetales; Gloeochaetaceae. The record is from RNAcentral.